Molecule: ribosomal RNA, 253 nt
Filed under: uncultured bacterium
Lineage: Bacteria
Description: partial 16S ribosomal RNA
Rfam family: Bacterial small subunit ribosomal RNA
Source: RNAcentral
UACGGGGGGGGCAAGCGUUGUUCGGAAUUACUGGGCGUAAAGGGCUCGUAGGCGGCCAACUAAGUCAGACGUGAAAUCCCUCGGCUUAACCGGGGAACUGCGUCUGAUACUGGAUGGCUAGAGGUUGGGAGAGGGAUGCGGAAUUCCAGGUGUAGCGGUGAAAUGCGUAGAUAUCGUAAGGAAGACCAGUGGCGAAGGCGGGUCUCUGGACAGUUCCUGACGCUGAGGCACGAAGGUCAGGGGAGCAAACGGG